This 97-nucleotide unclassified non-coding RNA is filed under the name Trypanosomatidae sp. Ch9. Its description in RNAcentral is "trans-spliced leader sequence SL". Lineage: Eukaryota; Euglenozoa; Kinetoplastea; Trypanosomatida; Trypanosomatidae. The record is from RNAcentral.
AACUAACGUUUUACUAGUAACAGUUUCUGUACUUUAUUGGUAUGAGAAACUUUCAGAAUUCAUUUUCUGAAUAAAUUUUGAAUGGAAGCCUUCGGGC